ACUCAAAUGAAUUGACGGGGGCCCGCACAAGCGGCGGAGCAUGCGGAUUAAUUCGAUGCAACGCGAAGAACCUUACCAAGGCUUGACAUAUACCGGAAACACUCAGAGAUGGGUGCCCCGCAAGGUCGGUAUACAGGUGGUGCAUGGUUGUCGUCAGCUCGUGUCGUGAGAUGUUGGGUUAAGUCCCGCAACGAGCGCAACCCUCGUUCUAUGUUGCCAGCGGGUUAUGCCGGGGACUCAUAGAAGACUGCCGGGGUCAACUCGGAGGAAGGUGGGGAUGACGUCAAAUCAUCAUGCCCCUUAUGUCUUGGGCUUCACGCAUGCUACAAUGGCCGGUACAAAGGGCUGCGAUACCGCAAGGUGGAGCGAAUCCCAAAAAACCGGUCUCAGUUCGGAUUGGGGUCUGCAACUCGACCCCAUGAAGUCGGAGUCGCUAGUAAUCGCAGAUCAGCAACGCUGCGGUGAAUACGUUCCCGGGCCUUGUACACACCGCCCGU
This 497-nucleotide ribosomal RNA is filed under the name uncultured bacterium. RNAcentral describes it as "partial 16S ribosomal RNA". It matches the Rfam family "Bacterial small subunit ribosomal RNA", at positions 899 to 1397 of the family's 1533-position model. The record is from RNAcentral.